This 253-nucleotide ribosomal RNA is filed under the name uncultured bacterium. RNAcentral describes it as "partial 16S ribosomal RNA". It matches the Rfam family "Bacterial small subunit ribosomal RNA", at positions 524 to 776 of the family's 1533-position model. The record is from RNAcentral.
UACGUAGGGUGCGAGCGUUAAUCGGAAUUACUGGGCGUAAAGCGUGCGCAGGCGGCGCGUUAAGACAGGUGUGAAAGCCCCGAGCUUAACUUGGGAAUUGCGCUUGUGACUGGCGUGCUGGAGUGUGGCAGAGGGAGGUGGAAUUCCACGUGUAGCAGUGAAAUGCGUAGAGAUGUGGAGGAACACCGAUGGCGAAGGCAGCCCCCUGGGUUAACACUGACGCUCAUGCACGAAAGCGUGGGGAGCAAACAGG